RNAcentral lists this ribosomal RNA (776 nucleotides) under Halorubrum sp. W67. RNAcentral's name for it is "bacterial SSU rRNA". It matches the Rfam family "Archaeal small subunit ribosomal RNA", at positions 50 to 824 of the family's 1478-position model. The record is from RNAcentral. Lineage: Archaea; Methanobacteriati; Methanobacteriota; Halobacteria; Halobacteriales; Haloferacaceae.
CCUGCUAGUCGCACGAGUUCAGACUCGUGGCGAAUAGCUCAGUAACACGUGGCCAAACUACCCUUCGGAGCACGAUACCCUCGGGAAACUGAGGCUAAUAGUGUAUACCAUACCCCCACUGGAAUGAGUGGUAUGCCAAACGCUCCGGCGCCGAAGGAUGUGGCUGCGGCCGAUUAGGUAGACGGUGGGGUAACGGCCCACCGUGCCAAUAAUCGGUACGGGUCAUGAGAGUGAGAACCCGGAGACGGAAUCUGAGACAAGAUUCCGGGCCCUACGGGGCGCAGCAGGCGCGAAACCUUUACACUGCACGACAGUGCGAUAGGGGGAUCCCAAGUGCACAGGCAUAGCGCCUGUGCUUUUCGGCACCCUAAGGCGGUGCCAGAAUAAGGGCUGGGCAAGACCGGUGCCAGCCGCCGCGGUAAUACCGGCAGCCCAAGUGAUGGCCGAUCUUAUUGGGCCUAAAGCGUCCGUAGCUGGCCGCGCAAGUCCAUCGGGAAAUCCACCUGCUCAACAGGUGGGCGCCCGGUAGAAACUGCGUGGCUUGGGACCGGAAGGCGCGACGGGUACGUCCGGGGUAGGAGUGAAAUCCCUGUAAUCCUGGACGGACCGCCGAUGGCGAAAGCACGUCUGCGAGGACGGAUCCGACAGUGAGGGACGAAAGCCAGGGUCUCGAACCGGAUUAGAUACCCGGGUAGUCCUGGCCUGUAAACAAUGUCUGCUAGGUGUGGCUCCCACUACUAGUGGGUGCUGUGGCGUAAGGAAGCCGCUAAACAGAC